Molecule: ribosomal RNA, 656 nt
Filed under: uncultured bacterium
Lineage: Bacteria
Description: bacterial SSU rRNA
Rfam family: Bacterial small subunit ribosomal RNA
Source: RNAcentral
UGGCGAACGGGUGCGUAACGCGUAAGAAUCUACCCUUUAGUGAAGAAUACCUCCGAGAAAUCGGGGCUAAUACUGCAUACGUCCCUACGGGGAGAAAGGUGGCCUCUUGCUACCGCUGAAGGAUGAGCUUGCGUAUUAUUAGCUUGUUGGUGAGGUAAAGGCUUACCAAGGCUUUGAUGAUUAGCCGACCUGAGAGGGUGAUCGGCCACAUUGGGACUGAGAUACGGCCCAGACUCCUACGGGAGGCAGCAGUGGGGAAUAUUGCACAAUGGACGCAAGUCUGAUGCAGCGACGCCGCGUGGAGGAUGACGGUUUUCGGAUUGUAAACUCCUGUUAAGUGGAAAGAAAGAGGCAUGGUUAAUACCCAUGCAAGAUGACGGUACCACUAGAGAAAGCUCCGGCUAACUUCGUGCCAGCAGCCGCGGUAAUACGAAGGGAGCAAGCGUUAUUCGGAAUUACUGGGCGUAAAGGGCGUGUAGGCGGUUUAUUAAGUCAGUUGUUAAAGACCAUGGCUUACCCAUGGAACAGCAAUUGAUACUGGUGAACUAAGAGGGCAAGAGAGAGAAGUGGAAUUCUCGGAGUAGCGGUAAAAUGCGUAGAUCUCGAGAGGAACACCGAUAGCGAAGGCAGCUUCUUGGCUUGUACCUGACGCUGAG